Molecule: long non-coding RNA, 763 nt
Organism: Ictalurus punctatus (channel catfish)
Lineage: Eukaryota; Metazoa; Chordata; Actinopteri; Siluriformes; Ictaluridae
Source: Ensembl
GUGGGACUCUUGUCUUCCUAGAUGGCAGAGAGAUCUGUCUUGCUACAUGACGUUUGCAGUCACUCGAGUGUUUUUCACAACCUGCCUUCUCAGAAAACUGGUUGCAGCCAUUCAUAGUUUCCUUUUUCUGGCCCAUCCAGUAUCUCUCUCACAGCUUCAGAGAGUCAUCUCACAGUUCCUGAGGCGGCGAAGGAUCCGUGUAAAUUUACCGUGAAGGCUCUUAGAAGUGCUAUUCAAGAGGGAGAUUUCCUUUAAAGCUCUCAUUUAAAACCUUCAGAAGACAAAAAAAAAAAGUGCUCUUUCCUCACGAGGCCCAACAUCCAUUUUCCCAUUUCUGCUCACGAUCCUCAAAUGCUCGCCGGUACCUUUUUCAAAAUUGUGAAUUAAGUGACUUAAAUUGUUUGUCUUACUCUACUGUCAGUUAUCGGAUGAAAUCUGAGUGUCCAUCUCACCCAAUUUGUUUUGCGACUCAUACGUAACUAUUACAAAAGGUGCAAACAUUCACUGAUUCUCAGGAAGGCAACACUACAUUAAGAGUCAGGGGGAUGUAAACUUUUGAACAGGAUUAUUUUGUUUAAAGAUCUUAUGUUUUAAUGUAGUACUGCCCAGCAGAAACUACAUAAGAUAUUUACAUGUUUCCCAGAAUACAGUAUAUUAACAAUUUACACUGAUUAUUCUGUUCAAAAUUAUACACCUCCCACCCCCUGACUGUAUCAUGUUACCUUCUUCAACAUCAGUGAAUGUUUACACUGGAAUGAUACCA